UUUUGUGAUGAAUGCCUAAUAAGCACAUGGAUUAGACGGGCAGAACUCUUCAAGCUUUUGUAAAUGUAGCUGCUUGCGGGACACGAAAUAACUGCUCUUGUAAAACUUCCCUUUGGCAUUGCAAUAUUUAAAGUCCAGGAAAAUAAUGGAGAGAAAACUGGACAAUAAAAUGAAAAGGGAACUGUCUUACUUAGCUACUUUAAACGACAGAAACAUAUCCCUGGUGUCUAUUCGUAAGCAGCAGGCAGCUUGUGAUGUGCCCGAACUACUGAUUAUUGGUGAAAAGUCCAAGACGGCAUCUCUGGUAAAAGCAAGUAGUAACUUGCAGAAAGAAGAGAAACUUUUGCAGAGUUACUCCAUGGGAAUGACAGAAGUCAAUACAGUUGAAAAACAGGCUUUGUCCAACAUUGAUUCUCCUCCUGGUUGUGAGCUGAAGCCUACAAUGAAACAUAAUUUUGCAUUUGACAACAUGGGCUAUGAGGAGAGCUCUGAAACCAUGCCCUCCCCACCUUCCCAAGAGAAUACUGUGGUAGUCAACAUUGUGGGAAUGACUUGCCAAUCAUGUGUUCAGUCAAUAGAAGGCCAAAUUUCCAAGGUGAAGGGCAUUUUGAGAAUUAAAGUGUCCCUUGAGCAGAACAAUGCUGCUAUCAAGUAUCUGCAGUCAGAAAUAAGUCCUGAACAGAUUUGCCAGGAAAUUCUGGAUAUGGGCUUUGAUGCCAACAUAGCAGAAGAGAAGUUGACAACAGCCACUGUAAAUUUGCCAAGCUUGAAAGAAGCAGUAGUUAAACUUCGGGUAGAAGGCAUGACAUGCCAGUCCUGUGUCACCACCAUUGAAGGAAAGAUUAGGAAACUGCACGGUGUAACAAAAAUCAAGUUGUCACUUGAUAACCAAGAAGCAAUUAUUGCUUACCAUCCUUACAUCAUUCAGCCUGAUGACCUCAAGAGCCACAUCAGUGACAUGGGGUAUGACUGCACCGUUAAAAGUAAAUCAGCUCCUUUGAAGCUGGGUGCCCUUGACCUCCAGCGCUUGCAGAAUGCAAACCCCAGGGAGACACCUGCAAGUCUCGAGAGUGAUGGGCUGGAUCCGCUGGUCACCGAGAUGGGUAGCACAACAACAGUGACACUACAGAUAGAGGGCAUGCACUGCAAGUCCUGUGUCAGGAACAUCGAAGGAAAUAUAUCAGAUCUUCCUGGAAUAACAAGUAUUAAAGUGUCUUUGGAGCAUAAAUGUGCUGUGGUACAAUAUAGCCCAGAUUUAAUCACCCUGUCAGCUUUGCUGCAAGCUAUUGAAUCCCUUCCACCUGGAAACUUUAAAGUAAGCCUCCUAAAUGAUUCAGAAGCAAAUAAAGCAGCACCUCCCUCAGGUACUUUCACAUACAAUGUCAUCAGACAGCCACCACAAGGCACGAUGGCUGUUAUUAAGAUUGAUGGCAUGACCUGCAAUUCCUGUGUACAGGCCAUAGAAGGGGCCAUAGCACAGAGGCAAGGAGUGCAGGAUGUAGCAGUUUCUCUAGCUGGUGGUACUGGGACCAUACACUAUGAUCCAGCUGUCACUAGUGGAGAAGAGUUAAGAGCUGCCAUAGAAGACAUGGGAUUUGAUGCCUCUGUGCUGACAGAUACUGCCACUGGAGAACACAGGAGCCAGCCUGAUGCCAGCAAAGCUGCUGUGCAGCCUCAAGCACCAGAGCCUCGUCACCAAGGCGAUGCCUCAGAUGCUCUUCCAGACAGUUCUCACCCUGAUGGGUCAAACCAGCUCAGUGGAGCCACAGAAGAAAAGUGUGUUUUACAAAUCACAGGCAUGACCUGUGCAUCGUGCGUGUCUACCAUUGAAAGAAAGUUACAGAAAGAAGAUGGAAUUGUUUCAGUGUUGGUAGCACUGAUGGCUGGUAAAGCAGAGAUAAAAUACAAGCCAGAACUCAUACAGCCUCUUGAAAUAGCACAGCUGAUCCAGAAUUUGGGUUUUGAAGCUACCAUCGUGGAAAAUAAUGCAGAAACAGAAGGACAAGUGGAGCUUCUUAUUACAGGGAUGACUUGUGCUUCUUGUGUUCACAAUAUUGAAUCCAAACUCAUGAGAACAAAUGGCAUAUUCUCUGCCUCAGUUUCACUUGCGACUAGCAAAGCUCACAUCCUGUUCGAUCCUGAAAUUAUUGGACCUCGAGAUAUUAUAAAAGUAAUCAAGGAAAUUGGCUUUCAUGCUUCUGUGGCUAAAAGAGCUCCAAAUGCACAUAACCUGGAUCAUAAAAAGGAAAUACAGCAGUGGAGGAAAUCUUUCUUGUACAGCCUAGUGUUUGGUAUCCCUGUUGUAGUCAUAAUGGUUUAUAUGCAAAUACCCAGUGGUGAAGACCAUGGAUCAAAGGUGCUGGAACAGAAUCUCAUUCCUGGAUUAUCUAUUUUGAAUCUUCUCUUCUUUAUCCUGUGCACUUUUGUUCAGUUCCUUGGUGGAUGGUAUUUUUACGUACAAGCUUACAAGUCACUGAGGCACAGGACAGCCAAUAUGGAUGUGCUCAUCGUAUUGGCCACGACGAUUGCUUAUCUGUAUUCCUGUGUGAUCUUGAUAGUAGCAAUCAUUGAAAAGGCAGAGAAAAGCCCUGUCACGUUCUUUGACACUCCUCCGAUGUUGUUUGUGUUCAUUGCGCUUGGCAGAUGGCUGGAACACAUAGCCAAGGGUAAGACCUCAGAAGCUCUUGCUAAGCUUAUGUCUCUUCAAGCCACAGAAGCCACUGUGGUGACUCUAGGACCUGGCCACUCUAUUGUCAGGGAGGAGCAAGUACCUGUUGAACUGGUUCAAAGGGGUGAUAUUAUAAAAGUUGUUCCUGGUGGAAAGUUCCCAGUGGAUGGAAAGGUCAUUGAAGGCAGUUCUAUGGCAGAUGAGUCUCUCAUUACUGGGGAACCUAUGCCAGUCAUUAAAAAGCCUGGGAGCACAGUGAUUGCUGGUUCUAUAAAUGCACAUGGCUCACUUCUUGUUAAUGCAACUCAUGUUGGUAGUGAUACCACUCUGGCACAGAUUGUGAAAUUGGUGGAAGAAGCUCAAAUGUCAAAGGCACCCAUCCAGCAACUGGCAGAUAAAUUCAGUGGAUACUUUGUUCCAUUUAUCAUCAUCAUUUCAACUGUGACAUUGAUAGCAUGGAUCACAAUUGGUUUUGUGAAUUUUGAUAUUAUUAAAAAGUAUUUUCCGAAUCACAGCAAAAACAUUUCAAAAGCUGAAAUAAUACUGAGGUUUGCAUUUCAAACUUCAAUCACUGUGCUGAGCAUUGCAUGCCCUUGUUCUUUAGGCCUGGCUACCCCCACAGCUGUAAUGGUGGGCACUGGAGUGGCUGCACAGAAUGGUAUUCUCAUCAAAGGUGGAAAACCCCUGGAAAUGGCACAUCAGAUCAAGACUGUGAUGUUUGAUAAAACAGGGACCAUCACCUAUGGAGUUCCAAAAGUCACGAGGGUGCUUUUGAUGGGAGACACAGCUGUGCUCCCCCUGAAGAAGGUACUGGCUGUUGUUGGUACAGCAGAAGCCAGCAGCGAGCAUCCUUUAGGAAUGGCCGUCACUAAGUACUGCAAAGAGGAGCUUGGCACUGAGAGCCUGGGAUACUGCAUUGACUUCCAGGCAGUCCCAGGCUGUGGUAUCAGCUGCAAGGUCGGAGGAGUUGAGGCCAUCCUUGGCACAGCUGAGGAAGGUCCCAACAAGCUGGAUGCUAACAGGAGUGGGGAAAGCAGUGCUCCUCGGGGAGAUAAUGCAGUGAUCACACUCUUGGAAUCACCAGGUCCGUCAGCUUCUCAGAAAUACUCGGUGUUGAUCGGAAAUCGUGAGUGGAUGCGACGCAAUGGCUUGAAUAUUACAAGUGAUGUAAAUGAUGCAAUGACAAACCAUGAAAUGAAAGGACAGACUGCCAUACUAGUGGCUAUAGAUGGUGUGUUGUGCGGAAUGAUCGCAAUAGCAGACACUGUCAAGCAGGAGGCAGCCCUUGCUGUGCACACGCUGCAGAGCAUGGGGAUAGACGUGGUGCUCAUAACAGGGGACAACAGGAAAACUGCAAAAGCCAUUGCUACUCAGGUAUCCCACCACACAGCUGACUCAGCCAGCACUGUGGUAUGCACGUUCUUCUGUGCUGUGAGGUUGGGAUCAAAAAAGUUUUUGCGGAGGUUCUUCCUUCUCACAAGGUUGCAAAGGUCCAGGAACUCCAAAAUGGAAAGAAGAAGGUUGCAAUGGUUGGUGAUGGAGUCAACGAUUCCCCUGCACUAGCCAAGGCCGAUGUUGGAAUAGCAAUUGGAACGGGCACCGAUGUUGCUAUUGAAGCUGCAGAUGUUGUCCUUAUCCGAAAUGAUUUGCUGGAUGUAGUUGCCAGUAUUCACUUAUCCAAGAGAACAGUUCGAAGAAUACGAAUAAAUCUGAUUCUUGCCUUAAUUUAUAAUAUGCUUGGAAUACCCAUAGCAGCAGGUGUGUUCAUGCCUGUUGGCCUCGUGCUUCAGCCUUGGAUGGGAUCAGCUGCAAUGGCAGCUUCUUCUGUGUCUGUCCUGCUGUCUUCCCUGCAGCUGAAAUGUUACAAAAAGCCAGACACAGAAAGUUACGAGGCACAAGCUCAAGGCCGCAUGAAGCCACUCACUCCUUCACAAAUCAGUGUUCACAUUGGAAUGGACGACAGGAGGAGGGAUUCUUCCAAACCAUCUUCUUGGGAUCAGACUAGCCAAGUGUCCCUCUCUUCCUUGGCUUCCAACAGGCUGCCGAGACGCAAUGGUUUCAUUGAGGAGGAAGGUGGCAAGUGGUCGUUGCUCAUAAACGGAGCAGAUGAAGAGCAGUACAUCUGAAGCACUGGACUCUUGGUACAGAGGGAAAUGUUCCUCCUCCCCAGUCAGGGGAGGGUCUGACUUAUUUCAUCAACAGCUUCAGUGUUGUAAGUGAAGUGUUCCUUCAGCUCAUGAGAAGAUUGCAACUCAGCUCAGUGUUGGGUUGUAUGGAUUGUGGAUUUUUUUCAGGUCACCAGUUAUUUCUGGUCAUGGAAAUAAUCUGUGGCACUAUAAUGAACUGGCUUGUUUGCACACGGAAUUUAGUGAAAUAAUGUAAAAUUGUAAUUUUCAGUCUAAAAGAGUUUCUCUUUGACUCUUUGCUAGGAACCAAAUUUCAUACUUUUCACUCUUUAAAACUUUAUUACUUCAAGACCACAUGAAGUAAAAGUAUUUUCAGAGCUGCCAAAUAUUGAUUUGUAUCUAAAUGAAGUUAGCAAUGGCAAAAGGAAUUCUGUGGUCAGAAGUUGAAUUUUUACACAGAAUCCUAACUAGUCAUGUCACUGUGAGAUCACUUUGUAUUUAGGAUCCAUGGCAUCUCCUGGGGCCAAAAAUGCUUUGUUGUUUCACCUGCUAUAACUCUCUGAAAGGUCUUUUUCAAAGAUUUUCACUUGCUUUGAAGUAUUGCAUUCUUUUGAUGCACGUUUCUUUACUCUCUUUGAUUUUCCCUUUUUCUCCAUAUAAGCCCUUUUCCCCUUUUUCUUGCACAGGAGAUCUAUGAGUUAUCAUUAUGUUUACAGAUACUUCUGUUUGGGACAAACUCCUUUAAGUCACCAGGAACCGGUCCAUUCCUAUUGAAGUCCAUAAAGGCAGAACUGGUUCCUGGUCCCAGUUAUCCAAGAUACCUUGCUGGACCCUGGGGAAGCUCCUUAGAGUUGGCCAGUUGUCUGUCUUUUUCCUCUGACAGAGUGAAGGAUUUGUGCCAGUGUGAGCAAAGGUGGUAUUUACCUUGGAAUGACUGAGCAGAACUAGCACUGGUGUGACUCCAGCGUAGCUGAACAGAGUGAGCUUAUUGCACAACUUAACCCCAGCUGGCUGCUUGCUUAAAAUGCAGCUAAGUUUAAAUUAAAAAGGUGGAAAAAUGGCCUUAAAGUGGGCUUCUAUUUGCCAUAAUAUGAAUAAAUGACAGGACCUGAACUAAGAAAAUUUGUAAUUUAAAUUUGUAUUUAUGUUUUGUAUUGUUUUUAUCUCCCCUCUUUAUUUCAAUGAGAAAUCAAAGUGCUGGAUAACCAUUUUUUUUCUGUAACAUCUUUACCAAAUCUUGCAUUAACUUCAUCCCUGUGGAUGUCAGAUUCACCCCUUAACACUUUUUAGAGUCAGGAUGGCAGUAAUCAACUGCUUUGGUGCACUGGAUCCAGUCCCAGAGUGCUGUGUUGUCCAGCUGCGGACUCUGAGGUAAGCAGAGUUUUAUAGUCUAGUUUAGAAACUGAAAGAAGAGGAAAUACAUUGCUAAACAACAUGAAAUAACUACUUAUUUUCAUUGACUGAAAUAUAGAGCUGUUUCUAAGAUGGGUUCAAAUCCUGCUUCUCCUAAUGUAAAAAUGAAAAACAAGUUGGAGAGGAAAAGAAUUGUUCUUAAAGAAUUGGAUGGGUCCUCUUAUUUUCUCAGCACUGUCUUAAAUAGAAUUACAAAUCAGUUUUAAAACUCUAUAUAAGUAGAGAUUACUUUCACAGUUUUUCACACAGUUCACACACACACUUUCCACACACUUUUCAAAGGUGCAUGCCAUAGGUGCAUG
This is a non-coding RNA of Pseudopodoces humilis (Tibetan ground-tit), 6509 nucleotides long. The record is from RefSeq and is a predicted model, not a curated record. NCBI's taxonomy places the organism in Eukaryota, Metazoa, Chordata, Aves, Passeriformes, Paridae.